Molecule: long non-coding RNA, 169 nt
Organism: Lycium ferocissimum
Lineage: Eukaryota; Viridiplantae; Streptophyta; Magnoliopsida; Solanales; Solanaceae
Exons: 3
Source: RefSeq, a predicted model, not a curated record
UUAGUGUGGAAGAAAGUUUGGAUCAUCUUGAGGAACUUGAACUUGACAUGGCAAAUAGUGGAAGAGAUCCUUGCAUUGUUGAUGUAUGAUUGCAAUUUGCUUCUUUGUUACUAGUGUUCAAUCAUGCCUUCUAGAGCUCGCUCACAAGUUUGGGAACAUUUUGUGAUGG